UUCUAGUGAAAAAAUUUAGUUAAGUUAUAACAUUAGUUUGUCAUUCUAAAAUCAUUA
RNAcentral lists this transfer RNA (57 nucleotides) under Nicrophorus quadripunctatus. RNAcentral's name for it is "partial tRNA-Asp". The record is from RNAcentral. Lineage: Eukaryota; Metazoa; Arthropoda; Insecta; Coleoptera; Silphidae. RNAcentral also lists the same sequence under 3 other names.